Culicoides brevitarsis is the source of this 4507-nucleotide RNA transcript. It is a transcript of the gene named poly [ADP-ribose] polymerase tankyrase, with no coding region annotated. Lineage: Eukaryota; Metazoa; Arthropoda; Insecta; Diptera; Ceratopogonidae. The transcript is spliced from 18 exons. The record is from RefSeq and is a predicted model, not a curated record.
UCAAUGUCUUUGAGGGAGGGAAAAAAGGGACAGUAAUUAUUUUACGGCUACCAACUUCUGCUUCCACUCAGCUGUGAAAAAGUGAAUAAAAUAAAUAAAUAAAUAUUACUUAAUUCGAGUGUUUUUUUAAUUUGUAAAAUGAUUUGUAUUAAAAAUGAAUAAAACGCACUUCAUUUACUAAAAAGAUUUGCAUUUAAAAUACCCUUAACUGAAAAUACAAGAUAUACCUACACCUACUUCUUUAAAAACAAUUUUAAAAUAAAUACAAGAUGGCCAAAUUCAAUUAAAAGCAAAGUGAAAUAAUAUCAAUUUUAUUUUUUCGAUUGAGUUUUUCGAUUGAUGCAGUCAGAUAUGUCAAGAAAAUCAUUAGAGUUAACACUGUCGUCUUCUUCAAUUGAUUUAUGUGGAAAUUUAGACGACAAUCAGCAACUUUUUGAGGCGUGUAAAACGGGUGAUUUAAUUAAAGUUAAAAGGCUUGUUAAUUCAAAAACUGUAAAUGCCCGAGAUUUGAGUGGAAGAAAAUCUACUCCUUUGCAUUUUGCAAGUGGAUAUGGAAGACGAGAUGUAGUAGAAUUUCUGUUAGCAAACGGAGCUAACUAUUUAUCAAAAGAUGAUGGAGGCCUGAAUCCCUUACACAACGCUUCUUCGUUUGGUCAUGCUGACGUAGUUCGAUUACUGCUUUCAGCUGGUGCAAACCCUAAUACUCGAGAUAACUGGAAUUAUUCACCAUUACAUGAAGCAGCAAGCAAAGGAAAAUGUGAUGUUUGUAUAGCACUUUUACAACAUGGAGGAGAUCCGACAUUAAGAAAUUCAGAAAAUAAGACACCAUUAGACAUCGCUGAUGCUUCCGUUAUUCCAGUAUUAACUGGUGAUUAUCGAAAAGAUGAACUUCUUGAAGCUGCAAGAUUAGGAAUUGAAGAUAAACUAUUAGCACUCUUAACUCCGAUAAAUGCAAACUGUCAUGCAGCUGAUGGGCGGCGAAGCACUCCUCUUCAUUUGGCUUCAGGUUAUAACAGAAUAAGAAUUGUUCAGAUAUUGCUUCAAAAUGGAGCUAACGUUCACGCUAAAGACAAAGGUGGGCUUGUUCCAUUACACAAUGCAGCCAGUUAUGGUCAUUUUGAAGUAACAGAAUUACUAAUCAAAUAUGGGUGCAACGUUAAUGCAACAGAUCUUUGGGCAUUUACACCUCUUCACGAAGCCGCAAGCAAAUCUCGUACAGAAGUGUGCAGUUUGUUACUCAGUAAAGGUGCAGACCCUACUCUACUCAACUGUCAUAACAAAUCAGCGAUAGAUGUAGCUCCAACUCGUGAAUUACAAGAAAGAAUUGCAUAUGAAUAUAAGGGAUACUGUUUGCUAGAUUCAAUAAAACAAGGUGAUAUGUCCCGUAUUAAAAAAUUUUUACAGUCAGAUACAAUAAACUUUGCUCAUAAUUAUACGGGUGAUACUGCAGUACAUGCAGUUACUGAUUGUGUUUCGCAAAGGAGAAAACAAAUUUUGGAGAUGUUAAUUCGGAAAGGUGCUCUUUUAAACGAGAGAAAUAAAGAUUUCGUUACACCAUUACAUAUAUGUGCUAAAAAUUCAGAAUUGCUAGAUAUAAUGGACAUAUUGCUUCAUUCUGGCGCCAAGCCAAAUAUUUUAGAUGGAUUAGGCCAAACUGCGCUACAUAUAGCAGCAAAGUCAGAUAAUGUGCCUGCUUGUCGCUUAUUACUAUCAUUCUCUGUCGAUUUAAAUGUUGUAUCCUUACAAGGCUAUAUCGCAGCACAAUUAGCAACAGAAAACACAUUAAAAGUUCUACAAGAUCCUCCAUCCGAUACAAUAGAUAUAGAAUGCCAGCUAUUAGAAGCUUCAAAGGCUGGGGAUAUUGACACAGUGAGACGAAUAGUACAAUCUCACCCUCAUACCGUUAAUUGCAGAGACCUCGAUGGACGACAUAGUAGUCCCCUGCAUUUUGCAGCGGGAUAUAAUCGAAUUGCUGUUGUUGAAUAUCUCCUUGAAAACGGUGCAGAUGUCAGUAAGGCUGAUAAAGGGGGUCUUUUUCCACUUCAUAAUGCAGCUAGUUACGGUCAUUAUGAGGUUACAGAACUCUUGAUCAAAUAUGGAGCGGAUGUAAAUGUUGCAGAUUUAUGGAAGUUCACUCCUUUACACGAAGCGGCAGCAAAAGGCAAAUAUGAUAUUGUUAAGCUUUUAUUGAAGCAUGGAGCUGAUCCAACAAAAAAAAAUCGAGACUUAGCAACACCAUUAGAUUUAGUUAAAGGCGAUCAAGAUGUUGCUGAUUUACUAAGAGGUAACGCUGCUCUACUAGAAGCAGCUAAAAAAGGUAAUCUCCUUCGUGUUCAACGUCUAACUACUCUUGAAAAUAUAAAUUGCAGAGAUGCACAAGGUCGAAAUUCAACUCCCUUGCAUCUUGCUGCUGGAUAUAAUAACUUAGAAGUGGCAGAGUUUUUACUUGAACAAGGAGCUGAUGUCAAUGCACAAGAUAAAGGUGGCCUAAUUCCACUGCACAAUGCUUCCAGUUAUGGUCAUUUGGAAAUAGCUGCCCUUCUAAUAAAGCAUAACACUCUCGUUAAUGCAACGGAUAAAUGGGGAUUUAGUCCAUUGCAUGAGGCAUCGCAGAAAGCAAGAACACAACUAUGCGCAUUAUUGUUGGCUCAUGGAGCAGAUCCUUUUUUGAAGAAUCAAGAGGGCCAAACAAGCUUAGAUUUAGCCACUGCUGAAGACGUAAAAUGUUUAUUACAAGAUGCUAUGUUAGCAUCUCAACACAAUUUUGUUAGUAGGAAAAUAACUGCGUUAGAUAUGAAUAGUUGCCCAAACACCGAAGUGGUUUUACUACCAUCAGGAGCAUCGAUGGCACUACCAAUUCCCAUUCCAGCGUUACCAUUACGUUCCUGUUUAAGUCCUGCACAAGGUGCAGAAACCCGUUACGAUUCUUUAGAUGACGAAAAAGUGAAUCAUGACAUCAUGAGUCCCACUUUAGCAUCUUUUUUAACUAGUCUACAUUUGGAUCAAUUAAUUGAAAUGUUUGAAAGAGAGCAAAUUACAUUGGAAAUUUUAGCCGAAAUGGGUCAUGACGAACUUAAACAAGUAGGGGUGACAGCAUAUGGUUUUCGACAUAAAAUAUUAAAAGGAAUAGCAACUUUACGAAGCACGACGGCUUUUGGUUUAUCCUUAAAUCCUGGUACUCUAUUGGUUGAUCUUUUGCCCGACGAUAAAGAAUUAAUAGCAAUAGAAGAAGAAAUGCAAGCAACAAUUAGAGAGCAUCGUGAUGGACAAACAGGAGGAUACUACACAAGAUAUAAUAUCGUCAGGGUGCAAAAAGUACAAAAUAGAAAACUUUGGGAGCGUUAUAUCCAUAGACGCCAAGAAAUUUCAGAAGACAAUGGAAAUCAAGCUUGUGAACGAAUGCUUUUUCACGGGAGUCCUUUUAUCAAUGCUAUUGUUCAAAAAGGUUUUGAUGAAAGGCAUGCAUAUAUUGGUGGCAUGUUCGGAGCUGGGAUAUAUUUUGCCGAACAUUCUAGCAAAAGCAAUCAAUAUGUUUAUGGAAUCAUGAACGGUAUUGGGUGUCCUUUGCAUAAAGAUAAAUCAUGCUAUCAAUGUCACAGGCAACUACUUUUGUGUAGAGUAGCAUUAGGAAAGUCAUUUUUACAAUUUUCAGCAAUGAAAAUGGCACACGCUCCUCCCGGACAUCAUUCAGUUAUUGGACGGCCGUCACAAGGUGGACUACAUUUUCCAGAAUAUGUUGUUUAUCGUGGUGAACAAGCUUAUCCAGAAUAUCUCAUAACGUAUCAGAUUGUAAAGCCAGAUACUGGAUGUGAUGAAGAUGAUACAAGAUGAUUUGAGAAUGACAAAAAAAAUAUGAAAUAAUUUUAAAAAACAAAUGAAAAAUGAUAAAUAUUCAAAAGCAUCUGUUAUUUUGACAGAAUUAGGAAAGAAGAUAAGCGACCUUAUUGUAAAUACUCCCUGAAUUUCCGUUGGUCAAAUUCGUGAGGCAAACCACACUUUUAAAGAUUUAAAUGAUCAUGUUGUCAGAUUUUCGAAAAAAGCUAGAUUUGUACAAUGCAUAAACAUUAUAUUAAAAGUAAAUCAAACUUAAAUGAUAACGCAGACAAAACAUAUACUAUUACAUAUCAACUGUAACAACUUUUAUACCUACUAUAUUUCUAGUAAAAUACAGAAAGAAAAUUUCCAAACGUAUGUAGAUGAAAAUAUUAGAAGGUUUCCAUUCUAAAAAAUAUAAGAAUCUUAUAAGAAUCAAAAUCUGAUUUUUUUUUGUUCAUCCAAAAAUAAGCAAAAAUAAUUAAAUUAAUAUCCAAGCAGAAAGUUUCAACCAUAUGUUUCAUGGUAAAAGUUGAUGGACUCAAGACGAUAAACAAAAAUUUGAACAAAAAUUUUGUAAUAAUAAAGCUUCGAAUGAAAUUUCGACCAUUUUUUCGCUAAGCGUAUUUUUCAUAUAUGUAUUUUGCGAUAAAAAAUUUGUAAAAUUAUGUAUAAUAAAAUUAAGUACAAAAAA